Molecule: long non-coding RNA, 543 nt
Organism: Cottoperca gobio
Lineage: Eukaryota; Metazoa; Chordata; Actinopteri; Perciformes; Bovichtidae
Exons: 3
Source: RefSeq, a predicted model, not a curated record
CAAGUAAACAACAAGUCAACAAGUCAACAACAAGUCAACAAGUCUACAACAAAUGGAGAAAGAAAUCGGGGAAACGACACUUUCCCUGACAUUAAAUAUUUCAAAAUCAAAGUCGUCUCACAUGUUUCGAACAUCCUGCUUUAAAACAUGUGAUCCACAAAUGUGACUGAGAAACCGUCUGAGUAUCUUCACCAUCUCACUUAUUAUCCAUUUACUCUGAAGAUAAACAGGCUGAAAUCAAUGUAAUUAAAGUUCCUGCGAAGUUUCUCUUUGUCGUUUGUCUCAGGAUGUUUUCAAACUUUCACUUUUGUUUUUUUCUCCAUCCUGUAAAAAGUUAUUCUGCGUGUUUUAAAAAAACUUUGAAGACUGUUCUUAUAAGACUGAGUACUACAAGUAAUGAGUAAAAUAAGUACUUGCUUCAUUAAAUACUUUAGUGAGUACGUCAGUAUUUGAGUAGUAUGUGCGUAGGAAUAAUUACUUAGUAAAGACUUUUUAAAAUACUGAGGAUCCUAGACACAGGAUUCUUUGGUCCGAUCACGUGGU